AACGUAGGACGCAAGCGUUAUCCGGAGUUACUGGGCGUAAAGCGCGGGCAGGCGGCCUGCCAAGUGGGGUGUGAAAGCUCCCAGCUUAACUGGGAGAGGCCAUUCCAAACUGACAGGCUGGAGGGCAGUAGAGGUAGGCGGAAUUCCGGGUGGAGUGGUGAAAUGCGUAGAGAUCCGGAGGAACACCAGAGGCGAAGGCGGCCUACUGGGCUGCACCUGACGCUGAGCCGCGAAAGCCAGGGGAGCGAACGGG
This 253-nucleotide ribosomal RNA is filed under the name uncultured bacterium. RNAcentral's name for it is "partial 16S ribosomal RNA". It matches the Rfam family "Bacterial small subunit ribosomal RNA", at positions 524 to 776 of the family's 1533-position model. The record is from RNAcentral.